RNAcentral lists this ribosomal RNA (518 nucleotides) under uncultured bacterium. Its description in RNAcentral is "bacterial SSU rRNA". It matches the Rfam family "Bacterial small subunit ribosomal RNA", at positions 8 to 518 of the family's 1533-position model. The record is from RNAcentral.
AGAGUUGAUCAUGGCUCAGGAUGAACGCUAGCGACAGGCUUAACACAUGCAAGUCGAGGGGCAGACAUAAAAGUAGCAAUACUUGGUGGCGACCGGCGCACGGGUGAGUAACGCGUAUGCAACCUACCUAUCAGAGGGGAAUAACCCGGCGAAAGUCGGACUAAUACCGCAUAAAACAGGGGCACCGCAUGGUGAUAUUUGUUAAAGAAAUUCGCUGAUAGAUGGGCAUGCGCUCCAUUAGGUAGUUGGUGAGGUAACGGCUCACCAAGCCGACGAUGGAUAGGGGAACUGAGAGGUUGGUCCCCCACACUGGUACUGAGACACGGGCCAGACUCCUACGGGAGGCAGCAGUGAGGAAUAUUGGUCAAUGGGGCGGGAGCCUGAACCAGCCAAGUCGCGUGAAGGAAGAAGGAUCUAUGGUUCGUAAACUUCUUUUGCAGGGGAAUAAAGUGCAGGACGUGUCCUGUUUUGUAUGUACCCUGAGAAUAAGGAUCGGCUAACUCCGUGCCAGCCGCCGC